Molecule: small nucleolar RNA, 131 nt
Organism: Dipodomys ordii (Ord's kangaroo rat)
Lineage: Eukaryota; Metazoa; Chordata; Mammalia; Rodentia; Heteromyidae
Source: Ensembl
ACCCUCUACAAAGGCAUGUCUUUUGUUCCCUGCCAUUGGACCUGUAAGAAUUAAAGGCAAAGAAAUGUGAACUUGGAGAAAUCUCGGGCCAGCUUGCACUCUAUGGGCUCAAGAUCAACCAUACUACAUAG